GUGCUCGCUUCAGCAGCACAUAUACUAAAAUUGGAACGAUACAGAGAAGAUUAGUAUGGCCCCUGCACAAGGAUGACAAUUCACAAAUUCGCGAAACAUUCCAUUUUUUU
Small nuclear RNA from Arvicola amphibius (Eurasian water vole), 110 nucleotides. The record is from RefSeq and is a predicted model, not a curated record. Lineage: Eukaryota; Metazoa; Chordata; Mammalia; Rodentia; Cricetidae.